RNA transcript from Brienomyrus brachyistius, 8676 nucleotides. It is a transcript of the gene named HECT, C2 and WW domain containing E3 ubiquitin protein ligase 1b, with no coding region annotated. The transcript has 29 exons. The record is from RefSeq and is a predicted model, not a curated record. NCBI's taxonomy places the organism in Eukaryota, Metazoa, Chordata, Actinopteri, Osteoglossiformes, Mormyridae.
UUAAUAAAACUCCCCAAAACCAUAAAACAAGAACCAUAAAUCGGUGGGGCUACUACCUUCAUGGUUAGUAAAAGGCAGUUUAAGGAGGCGAUCAAAGGCGAAAGGUGCAGGGAGCGGAGCGAGGGGACCUCCUCAUGUCUCCAUCACGGCCCCACACUCGCGCUCCUGCCCGGCGCCGAAAGGGACGUGAUUGGCGGCGGUGCGGAGGAGGAGGAAAGACGGCGACGCACACAAGAACAGGCGAUCUAUUGGCUGCAUCUGCAUGGUACCAAGAGGGAGGCUGAGGGAUUGCCAUCCUGAUGUAGUAUUUCUCUGUAUAGGCGGCCAGGAUACCGCUGUCCCCUCCUCCCCUUACCUGGAUAUUGUACGUCGGCAAAAAUGGGCUUCGUGACUAGAGUGAAGUAUGUCAGUGAUGUUUGGAUUCUAACGCUUGGCAGUGGAGUAUGAUUCAAAGGCAGGUGGUAUUAUCCCAGAACUUGUACCAGAACCGCUUCCUCGGGUUGGCGGCCAUGGCCUCCCCCUCGCGGAGCUCCCACGGUCGCCGUCGCUGCAAGGACCCGGCGCGGCACAGCUACAAUCCCGAGCAGUUCCAGCAGAUGGCGCUGCCGGAUGGCGGCCCCGAGGCGACCCCCGCACAGCGAUCCACCAGCGAUACGGACCUCCUCACCUGCCACAGCCGCUCCACACUAACUGUCAGCAGCUCCUUCUAUGCCAUCGGUCAGUCGCAGGACAUCGUGCUCUGGUGGGACAUCAAGGAGGAGGUGGAUGCCGGGGACUGGAUCGGCAUGUACCUCAUCGACGAGGUCCUGUCCGAGAACUUCCUUGACUACAAGAACCGCGGCGUGAACGGCUCCCACAAGGGCCAGAUCGUGUGGAAGAUCGAAGCCAGCUCAUACUUUGUGGAGUCGGAGACAAAGGUCUGCUUCAAGUACUACCACGGCCUGAGUGGGGCGCUGCGAGCCACCACGUCCUGUGUCACCGUGAAGAACCCAUCCGCACCGGUGUUCAAGCCCAUCGUCGGUGAGGACGUUACGCAGAGCCAGGGCAGCCGCCGCCUGAUCAGCUUCUCCCUGUCCGACUUCCAGGCGGUUGGGCUGAAGAAGGGCAUGUUCUUUAACCCAGACCCUUACCUAAAGAUCGCCAUCCACCCGGGCAAGCACAGCAUCUUCCCCGCCCUGCCCCACCACGGCCAGGAGAAGCGCUCCAGCAUCGUCUGCAACACCAUCAACCCCGUGUGGCAGAGGGAGCGCUUCAGCUUCGUGUCCCUGCCCACAGACGUGCUGGAGAUCGAGGUGAAGGACAAGUUCGCCAAGAGCCGGCCUAUCAUCAAGCGCUUCCUGGGCAGGCUGUCCAUGCCGGUGCAGAGGCUACUGGAGAAGCACGCCAUCGGAGACCGCGUCGUCAGCUACACCCUGGGCCGCAGGAUGCCGACGGAGCACGUCAGCGGCCAGCUGCAGUUCCGCUUUGAGAUAACAUCCUCCAUCCAUCCAGAUGACGAGGACACAUCCCUGAGUACGGAAGCAGACUGCGCCCCCCCCACUUCUGCAGCUGGACAACAGGGGGCAGCAGCGAUGCAGGUAGUCCAGGAAUCCCAGGACCAGGAUGCCGUGAGCUUGGGGCCCGAGGCCCCUGAGCUGCCUGCAGACAGGGCCUCUUUGGGGGGCGAGGCUGGCAACGUGGCGACUGGGGCCCCCGAAGUACAAACUUCUGGUGACCACCCGGAGCCAGAGGAGGCACCAGGGAGGGCGGCUGAUGGGGUAGGUGCCCCCCCCACAGAGGUCCCACCUGAGAGCAGUGAGGCCCCGGAGGCAAAUAGCCAAGUCCCUGCUGAUCAGCUGGGGGCCACUCCUAAGGAGGCUGGAAUCCAGGAAGGGGCCGAGGGGCCUGCUGACAUCCCCCCUGAUAGUUCCUGGGACAUGGUGGAUGGAGAAAUGGUGGCAGAGCUCCCCCCGCAGGCUGAGGAGGGGGACGGGGAGGGAGAGGGAGCUGGCACCCUUCCGCGCAUGAGGAGCGUCCCCCGGCGCAAGGGCAGACCGUGUUCACUGCCGGUGUCCGAGCUGGAGACAGUGAUCGCGUCAGCCUGCAGUGAGCCGGAGACGCCCAGGAGCCACUACAUCCGCAUCCACCACCUCCUGCACAGCCUGCCCUCUGCCCAGAGUGAUGGCAAGGCCUCCCCUGAGCUGGGCAUCCCGGAGCCCCCGCUGGGGGAGGCGGCGGGACCUGGGGAUGGGGCUGGGCCUGAGGAUGGGGAGGGGGCUGGGGAUGAGGCAGGAGCAGAGGAUGGGGAAGGGCCAGAGGAUAAUGCACCCGAUUCUGAGCCCCAGGAAGCGACUCUGGAUGGCACAGAGGCCAUGGAUGACUCAGAAUCCACUGAUACCCUGCAGCCCUGCCCCAGGAGGACGCUGCCCCGCAGUCUGUCCAUUGAGCACCUCUCCGACCUGAACCAGCUGCUGGAGAGAGCGGGGCCAUGCCAUGGCAGCGAGGGCGAGGCGGGAGGCCCCAGGGGCCUGGGGGAUGAGUGCGACCUGUGUGACGCUUCCUGCUAUAGCACCUCCUGUUACAGCACCUCCUGCUACAGCACCUCCUGCUACAGCAACUCGGGCUACGAGGGCCGGAGGCGGCUCUGCAGCCACACUCGCUUCUCUUCAGUGGAUAGCGCUCACCUGUCGGGGAGCACUGUCUUUUCGUCACAGGAGGAGGAUGAGGAGGAGGAAGAGGAGGAGAACAGUGCCUUCGAGUCAGCGGCAGACUCCACGCUAAGUCCCGAGACACGGGAGUCCGGCAACGGCCCAGUGCAGUGGCAGGGGGAGAGCUCACAGAACACCAACGGGAGCAUGGUGUUGCCGGAGGCAGGGCCCAGUGGGCGGGGCCGAGGCGAUUUGCCAUGCAGUCACCCACCAGUCCGCCAGCUCCCAACUUUGCGACCCGAUCCCCAUCAUUAUCCAACUAUAGACGAGCCAUUGCCACCAAACUGGGAGGCGCGUAUCGACAGCCAUGGUCGCGUGUUUUACGUGGACCAUGUCAACCGCACCACCACCUGGCAGAGGCCCACGGCGGCUGCCAUGGCCGAGGGUCUGCACCGCUCCGGCUCCAUGCAGCAGAUGGAGCAGCUGAACCGCAGGUACCAGAACAUCCAGAGGACCAUCGCCACGGAGAGUACUGAGGAGGAGGCAGGAAGUCGGCGAGGAGAGCGGGCAGCCCUCGAGACUGACGGCUCAGCGCUGAGCGGCGAAUUGAGAAGAGAUGGUCCUUCGUCCCCCAUUAACAGCCAGAAGAUCACAGUGCUGCUGCAGUGUCCUGCCGUCAAGUUCAUCAGCCACCCGGAGUUCUUUACUGUCCUCCACGCCAACUAUGCCGCCUACCGCUUGUUCACCAGCAGCACCUGCCUGAAGCACAUGAUCCUGAAGAUCCGACGGGACGCACGCAGCUUUGAGCGCUACCAGCACAACCGUGACCUGGUGGCCUUCCUCAACAUGUUCGCCGACCCGCAGCUGGAGAUGCCGCGUGGCUGGGAGAUCAAGAGCGACCAGCAGGGCAAGUCGUUUUUUGUGGACCAUAACAGCCGUGCGACAACCUUCAUAGACCCUCGUAUCCCGCUGCAGAACGGCCGUCUGCCCAACCAUCUGACGCACAGGCAGCACCUGCAGCGACUGCGCAGCUACAGCGCAGGGGAGGCAUCAGAGGUGUCCCGGAGCCGCGGCGCCUCCCUGCUGGCCAGGCCUGGCAACAGCCUUGUGGCAGCCAUACGGACCCAGCACCAGCAGGAUGCCGCUGUUCCUGUCGCCUACAAUGAUAAGAUCGUGGCAUUUCUGCGGCAGCCCAACAUCCUGGAGAUGCUUCAAGAGCGGCAGACCAGCCUGGCCAGGAACCACACACUGAGGGAGAAGAUCCACUACAUUAGAACAGAAGGCACGCAUGGCCUGGAGAAGCUGUCAUGUGACGCAGACCUGGUCAUACUGCUGAGCCUGUUUGAGGAGGAGAUCAUGUCCUACGUUCCACUGCACCCCUUUCACCCCGGGUUUGGCUUUUCACCACGAUGCUCGCCUGGUUCAUCACCGCAAAACUCCCCGGGGCUGCAGAGGGCCAGGGCUCCAGCUCCUUACCGCAGAGACUUUGAGGCCAAGCUCCGGAACUUCUACAGGAAGCUGGAGGCAAAGGGUUAUGGCCAGGGGCCUGGAAAAAUCAAGCUUAUCAUCAGACGAGAUCACUUACUAGAGGGCACCUUCAACCAGGUGAUGGCCUACUCUCGUAAGGAGCUCCAGAGGAACAAGCUCUACAUCACAUUUGUUGGCGAGGAAGGUCUUGACUACAGCGGUCCAUCGCGGGAGUUCUUCUUCCUGCUGUCCCAGGAGCUGUUCAACCCUUACUAUGGCCUGUUUGAGUACUCUGCUAAUGACACGUACACAGUCCAGAUCAGCCCCAUGUCGGCCUUCGUGGAGAACCAUCUGGAAUGGUUCCGCUUCAGCGGCCGCAUUCUGGGCCUGGCGCUGAUCCAUCAGUAUCUGCUGGAUGCUUUCUUCACCCGCCCCUUCUACAAAUCCCUGCUCAGAUUAUCAACAGAUCUAAGUGACCUAGAGUAUCUGGAUGAGGAGUUCCACCAGAGUUUACACUGGAUGAAGGACAACGACAUCACAGACAUUCUGGACCUGACCUUCACUGUGAAUGAGGAGGUCUUUGGUCAGGUUACAGAGCGGGAGCUAAAAUCAGGCGGCGCCAACCUGCAAGUGACGGAGAAGAAUAAGAAGGAGUACAUCGAGCGCAUGGUGAAGUGGCGGGUGGAGCGUGGCGUGGUGCAGCAGACCGAGGCUCUGGUUCGGGGCUUCUACGAGGUGGUGGACUCCCGCCUUGUAUCUGUGUUCGAUGCCAGAGAGCUAGAGCUGGUCAUUGCUGGGACGGCGGAGAUUGACCUCAAUGACUGGAGGAACAACACAGAGUACAGAGGAGGUUACCACGACGGGCACAUCGUGGUGCGCUGGUUCUGGGGUGCAGUCGAGCGCUUCAACAAUGAGCAACGGCUGCGGCUGCUGCAGUUUGUGACAGGCACGUCCAGCGUGCCGUAUGAGGGCUUCGGCGCUCUUCGUGGCAGCAACGGCCUGCGGCGCUUCUGCAUCGAGAAGUGGGGCAAGAUUACCUCCCUGCCCAGGGCCCACACCUGCUUCAACCGGCUGGACCUGCCACCCUACCCGUCCUGCACCAUGCUGUACGAGAAGCUGCUGAUCGCCGUGGAGGAAACCAGCACCUUCGGCCUGGAGUGAGCAAGCUGCGGAGCCUGCAGUCUGGAGCGAGGCAGGCCGUGAAUCCUGCAACCUGGAGCGAGGCAGGCCAUGAAUCCUGCAGCCUGGUGUGAGGCAGGCCGCAUAGCCUGCAAUCUGGAGUGAGGCAGGCCACGGAGCCCGCAUCUGUGGAGCCUGCAGCCUGAAGCCGGCAAGCAGACUUGGCUCUUUUCUGGAGAAUCAAGCUUUUUUUUCCAGUUUAUAUUUUUGUUUGUUUUUUUUUUAUUUACAGUCUGUGCACAUGCAUGUGUGACUCCCUGGCUGUGCUGUCCUCUCGCGGGGGCUGACACAAACCCAGAAGUAUGCAAUAGCUGACAACCUACAGCACUCAGCGCCUUCGCCUCCAUCCCUCUGACUCUGUCGCACCUAAUUACCCAUAAUGCCUUGGGUCCGCCUUCCCUGCAUCCUCUGGAGCAAGGCUGCCACUAUGCACCGAGACAUGGUUCACCUGUGCCCACAACAUUGUAUGAUGUCAGUACAGGAAGUUGGAAGGCAUCUCCCAGAAUCCCGUUCAGCAUCCCACAUGACCUUGAACGGUGACCGCCAGCUAUCAAACAGUGGAUACGAGCCAAACUGAGGCUGUUUUUGUGUUUAUGUUUCAGGCUUGAUUUACCUCAAUCUGGAGGAAGUAGAGUGAUGGAAAGGCAGCAUCUUUACAGCUCUAUUAUAGCUUCUGUGGCUCAAACUCAGACUCAAAUUGAGCGACUGUAGAAAGCCCCCAGUCCCUGAUUAUAAAACUACUAAAUAACUGUCUUUAACAUCAAAAAAAUGUAAAUUAUAACCAGACGCUGGUAUCCCUGCAUAGAGAGCUGGAGGCGUAUCAUGAAAUGUGGGGUAAGCGAGGUGACCAGGCCAGAGGGACGAUGAGGGUUUAUACAUACAGAAAGGCAGUCACCACCACGACAAACCUUCCCCAUUUGGAGAACUGGAGGUGUGGUCUGUAACGGGGGUAAGCGAGGCGGCCAGGCCAGAGGGACGAUGAGGGUUUAUACGUACAGAAAGGCAGUCACCACCAUGGCAAACCUUCUCUGUUUGGAGAGCUGGAGGUGUGGUCUGUAACGGGGGGUAAGCGAGGCGGCCAGGCCAGAGGGACGAUGAGGGUUUAUACGUACAGAAAGGCAGUCACCACCACGACAAACUUUCCCUGUUUGGAGAGCUGGAGGUGUGGUCUGUAACGGGGGUAAGCGAGGUGGUCAGGCCAGAGGGACGAUGAGGGUUUAUACGUACAGAAAGGCAGUCACCGCCACGGGAAACGUUCCUCCACGUCCUGUGGCUUCAUCACGUCAUGAUGGUCAUUGGUGGGCACUGGUGGCUUUAUGGUUUGUGAAGCACACUUGUAAUCGAAUGAUUGCAGGUUCAAAUCACUGACCAGCAAAUCACCACUGAGGUACCCUGAGCAAGGUGCCGCCCCCAAGCACUGCUCCCUGGGUGCUGAAUUAGCUGCCCCCUGCUAUGUCAUAUUGUCACAUAUGGGUUAAAUGCAGAGGACACAUUUCGUUGUUGUGUGCUGUGGUGUGUCAACAAUGACAAUCACUAAAUUCUAAUUCUUGAAUGUUCUGUCUGUCUGCAGUGACCCAUCAUUGUCCUAUUAUAAAGGAGCUGGAUUUAGCGGGGGCUGCAUUAAGGAGGUGGUGGAUGAUCUGAUUAUGAAGACGUCCUCCAGCUGAACGUGUCAUUAAAGUGACAUGCUUCUCAAACAGCAUUUUUUCCCACUGAUCCCUAAGUCAGAUCCGUUAGUAAUGUUUUACCGGGAAAUUAAGCCAGGAAACUGCAUGUAAAUUGCAUUGUGUCACGAAACGUAUUUAAUUCAACACUUGUGAAAAGUUUAAUUAAUCGUAAGAUUUUUUGUUGGUGUGUGUAAAGCAUUAUGGGUGGUGGGGGGGUUCUCUUCUUCUGGUUCUGUUCGAUGGCAGGGUGUGCAGUGCCCCUUAAUGGAUGGAUGGAUGGAUGGAGCACUUUACACCGUCCGUCAGCCCUGCCCCGGGGCCCUGUGCAUUUGGGCUGCUUCCCCCAGCAGAUCUCUGUCUGUGCCCUUCAGAGUCUUCGUCACAGACCCGUAUUCCAGCUACGAGCUGCUACAGGCCGACAGUCACGCCCCCUGUGCUGUUUGGGUCUCUGAUCAUGACACAGGCUGAUUUACACCAUCAUUUUCUCUGACUGGUAACGGAAACAAUGGCCUGCAUUGUGUGUCAGUUUAUGUUUGGAGUUUGGAAAAAGCAGGUCCUUAAAAGCUGGCAUAUAUUGGUCUUUUCAGUGGUUCUUUUUAUUUAGACUAGAUCAGAUUAUCAGCUAUAUUGAUACUGGGGAACUUCUUGUGCAUAAAGCAGCAGGGUCCACAUCACACAGACAGAACAUUCAUUUAGUGCAGCACAGACCUGGUGCAGUGAUGGUGCAGUGUCACGUUCCGGCAAAGUCUGCAUCAGGGGCUCGCAGGGUCAUUUCGCCUUUUACUCUUCUUACCAACCCUCUGCCUGCCCUUCACCCUUCAUUUUACAGCUGACCCCAAACAAAACGUCAUUUACAUCAUCUGUGUUAACUGAAGAUUAUAGCCAUGACUGCAGGUUCUGUGUGCCGCGAUCCAGAUGUGAAGACUGAUAUUGCUAUGUCUCUUAAUGUAGCUGCCCAAGAACAGAGGUUUGUUAGGGGUGUCCAUGGGAUCCUUGCAGGUGUGAAUCCAUAAGCCUUUUGCUAUAUUUAUCUCCUUAUAUAUGUAUAUGAAGGGGCUGUUAAUCUUGGCUCAGUUUGCCGUUGGUCAUCAAUAAUGUUCACAGUGAAAAGUCCACUGGAGGGCAACAAUCAUCUAAUUUUAUUAAGAUACAUUUAUAGCUGAUAGGAAUCAUGUAAAAAGGAUAAUAUGCAAUAGGCAUUUAUAAUUACAAUUGUAUUUAUUGAUUUGGUUUAUGCUUGAUUUUAUAUUAAAAGUAUUUAUUUAUUUGUGUAUUAAUUUGUAACUGAUAUGUAAAUUGGAUCCAUGCAAACAAAUCCACUGAGAUUAAAAUUUAAGAAUCUGAAUGGCUGUUGCUGGAUGGGUUGUGCUGGCUUUGAAACAGUCAUAUAAGCGGUUGAUCAUGAUAACUGUGAUCACUGUAUAAGUGGAUGAUCACAAUAACUGUGAUCACUGUAUAAGCGGAUGAUCACUAUAACCAUGAUCGCUGUAUAAGUUAAUGCAUUAACAAAAGCAUAAAGAGGUCCCCUUUUAAAUAAUGUUACUGCCAUCAUUGUUCACAAGUUCACACUUAAUCAGAACUAGCUUUAUGAAAGAUAUUUUUUCCCAAUACGAGUUCUCGCUUUGUUUGUAAGCUCUCCUCGAUAUGGGCAUUUCUCUCAGCCACAUUCUUUCCACGUACUUUCUAUGCAUAUUAAUUAUCACUAACAAAAAAUAAAAUAAAUGAGAACUACAGGA